This 504-nucleotide ribosomal RNA is filed under the name uncultured bacterium. RNAcentral's name for it is "partial 16S ribosomal RNA". It matches the Rfam family "Bacterial small subunit ribosomal RNA", at positions 30 to 523 of the family's 1533-position model. The record is from RNAcentral.
AUUGAACGCUGGCGGCAGGCCUAACACAUGCAAGUCGAACGGUAGCACAGAGAGCUUGCUCUCGGGUGACGAGUGGCGGACGGGUGAGUAACGUCUGGGAAACUGCCCGAUGGAGGGGGAUAACUACUGGAAACGGUAGCUAAUACCGCAUAACGUCGCAAGACCAAGGUGGGGGACCUUCGGGCCUCACACCCUCGGAUGUGCCCAGAUGGGAUUAGCUAGUAGGUGGGGUAAUGGCUCACCUAGGCGACGAUCCCUAGCUGGUCUGAGAGGAUGACCAGCCACACUGGAACUGAGACACGGUCCAGACUCCUACGGGAGGCAGCAGUGGGGAAUAUUGCACAAUGGGCGCAAGCCUGAUGCAGCCAUGCCGCGUGUAUGAAGAAGGCCUUCGGGUUGUAAAGUACUUUCAGCGGGGAGGAAGGCGGUGAAGUUAAUAACUUCACCGAUUGACGUUACCCGCAGAAGAAGCACCGGCUAACUCCGUGCCAGCAGCCGCAGUAA